This is a long non-coding RNA of Homo sapiens (human), 2984 nucleotides long. Lineage: Eukaryota; Metazoa; Chordata; Mammalia; Primates; Hominidae. The record is from Ensembl.
UUACAGGCUGAUUAAACUUGAUGGGUUCUGGAGAUGCCGAGGAAGAGAGGCAGCAUCACCUACUUGCCUGGACUCUAGAUGGGCAGCUGAUCAUCUUGGACAGACUGCUGGAUGCUGUACCCAGGGUGGUCACUCCCAGACACCAUAGAAAAUGAUGAGGAAACUGAGCUUCGAGAAGGGAGAGUAACUAGUCCUGAGUCACACAGUUGGUGAAAUGUGGAGCUGUCUUGAAAGUUCAUGGGUUCACCUACUGCACUGCUUGAAGAAUAUUUCGGUGUAUUACAAAUCUGUUCAGAAGCAGAACAGAGAAAACAAAAAUCUCCAACAGCGUACACAGCUUAUUUGCUAGCAAUGUACAUGCACAUCAAGUGCUUAACACAGUGCCUGACAUGAUAAAGUGUAGCCAAAAGACAAACAAACCUGCUUAACUGAAGAUGAUCAGUUAGGAUACAGGGAGGUGUUUUAAACAAAUGGCAGACAAACUGAGAAAUCUGCACUUCAAGUCCAACUCAUCCUGAGAAAUGCCAGAAUUUUAGCAACAAAACAAACCCGCAAGUCUUCUUCGUUCUUGAGAGUCAUGCCGUUUUCCUCCAAACAAGGACGAAAGGCUCUUUGCUUGUGGAGUGUCUCAGUCUAGCAGUAGAUUGGAAAAAUGUCCAAGCAGGGGACUCGAGUUCUCUCCCGGAUGAGUUCAUUUCAAUAGUCACUGUGUUUCAUCGGAUGCAGCUGGUUACAUUUUUAAUAGGCAGAUGGCUAAUUUUACAGUUCCAAGCCAAUCUCUCAUUGGACAACAUCCAGAAAGCCCGUGGUAGGGUGAUGCCCAGCAGAAAGUUCAACAGGACACUUGGGGGGAACAUAUGCUAAUGUCAGCCCUUUUACUUAAAUGUCUUUAAAAAGAAUAUUCAGUGCUAAGCUGAGGGAUUUUCACAGACUCAAGCCUAACACCAGAUGGGUGGCCAGCUAUGAAGUCCUUAGGGCCUGAGCAAAUGCUCUUAAUCUGGCUUGGAUGGUCGGAGAAUCAAAUAGCACCAAACCAGUAAUCUCUGAGUGAUUUUUAAAAAUGACAAAGGUGUAUGCACUUGCAGAAAUGACCAGGCUAACUAGAGAAGCGAGUUUCUCUUAAUAGAAGUCCAUGGCGUUACUAAAGCCCUGUGGUCCUAUGAUUACCUCGGCAUCCCGACCUCCGUUUUGGGUGCCCCUCCCCAUCUGACCUUUAUGGAGUUACAGGAAUGAAUGUCCGUUUACCUCCCCCCAGGUGACAGCCCCUCGCCUCCAGGGUCAGAGAGGGCGGAAUGUCUGUUGCAGUUAAGCAUCCUUAUUUUUAAACUGUUUGGAAAUCUCUCUCUCCAAGGAGAUGGCUAUUUAGACAUCUUAAUUAAAAGGGAAUUUGGAAAUAUCUCCCGUUUUGCAGCGCAUGUAAUCAAGCAUUUCUUUUUCUCUGCAGAAGGACUUUGGUUGCCUCUUCACAAAAGGCUUUGAAAUGUCCUAAAACAAUCCCCCGCAGCUCGGGGUGGGGGUAGGGACGAGAGAGAGAGAGAGAGAGAGAGAGAGAGAGAGAGAGAGAGAGAGAGAGAGAAAACCAAAGCAAAAAACAACAAACAUUUUCUGGGAGGUGAUAAAAGUCUUGGAUGCAAAGUAUCCUUAUUUUAUCCCAUGUGAUGAAUUGCCAUAGGGUGGCUGGAAAACUCUUUAAGAACCCCAAGGGCAAAUGCCGUUGUUUAAAUGAGGCAAAUGUUGUUUACCUCUAAGCAAAAUAAAAGCUAAGGAUCAGAAGAAAGAGGGGAUCAAAAGAUCUUUCUCCAAACAGAUUUAUAAAAGAGAGUGAUUUUUAAAUGAUUUCAACUCCUACUUUAUAAAAAUAUUUUAUGAGGCACUUUUCUGAAAAUAACAUGCUUCUGAAGAGUUUUCCUCCCCAAAUCGCUUCCUGAAAAUGGUGGCAUUACUUUCAUGCAGUACAAUUGCCUACACAAGACCUUAUUUAAAACAAUGCAAAAGAAAUUUGACAAAGCUAGUAACUCUGCACAAGGAAACUGGGCAUUUUUUUUUUUUUUUUUUUUUUUUUGCCGGGAAAAUAACCUUCAAACCUCAAACUAAAUCUGUAACUGCUUCUAUCAAAUUUUUCUUUCAAGAACCUGGAAAGCGGUUCAUUUUGUUUUAUCGAGCAGAUUGUGAAAAGAGUUUUCUUGCAGAGUUUUUGUUUUAUAAUCAAAAUAAUUCGAGGGAAGUGACACGACUUUUCUUUUGAGAUUUUUUUUUUUUUCUGGACAAAAUCUAAUAGAGGGAGAGAGAGAAAAAAAUCUAACCAAAGCCAAGACUUGCAGACAAAAGUUACACACAAUCAGAAAACCCUCAAAGAUAGGUAUAAAUUAUUCUGUCACUAAAUUAAAGUAUUGGUAGAAGAAAAGUCUUAAAAAUGUAAAAUGAGUACUAGCCAAAUACCUUCACAGUUAAUGGAAUUAUGGAAACUUCUCUCUGGUGUGAAUACCCCCAAACACAUUUUAGAUUUAUUUUUAAAGUGUAGUUUAAAGAAACUUUAUACCAUUUAAAAAAAAAAAUAACUUUGAAAGGAAAAGAGCCAAAAGAAAAGCAGAAAUUAGGGCAGUUUUUAAACUACAAGCCAACUGUUUGCUCUACUUUGCUUUAUUUAUUAGUUCUCAAGGUAUUUAAAACUUGAGCAUUAAAACUGCAGAAUAAUUUGCAAAUGAAUGCAGUUGCAGUUGUGAAAAUAUAACUCACAGCUGAAUGUGGGUUAUUCAGACAAAUGGCUGCUUUGUUCGAGGAGGGGAAGUAAAGUUCUGUGUUAAUUUAUUACAAACUGCAGCAUUUCAUCCCUGAUGUCCAGGCAACAAUGUUUUUUAUUUCAAGUAAUUUAUAAGCACUUCCCAGAGCACUUAGCGGUGAUGUCCUUGGCUGUUUUGCUCCCAGAGACGGAGUGUAUAUGUAUUUACUGUGGGAAUUUGUUUUUAAUAAAACUGUUGUAAGGC